RNAcentral lists this ribosomal RNA (752 nucleotides) under uncultured Skermanella sp. RNAcentral's name for it is "bacterial SSU rRNA". It matches the Rfam family "Bacterial small subunit ribosomal RNA", at positions 8 to 796 of the family's 1533-position model. Lineage: Bacteria; Pseudomonadati; Pseudomonadota; Alphaproteobacteria; Rhodospirillales; Azospirillaceae. The record is from RNAcentral.
AGAGUUUGAUCCUGGCUCAGAACGAACGCUGGCGGCAUGCCUAACACAUGCAAGUCGAACGGAGGUUCCGCUUCGGUGGGGCCUCAGUGGCGCACGGGUGAGUAACGCGUGGGAACCUGCCCCGUGGUACGGAACAACUCCGGGAAACUGGAGCUAAUACCGUAUGCGUCCCGAGGGACAAAGAUUGAUCGCCACGGGAGGGGCCCGCGUAGGAUUAGCUUGUUGGUGGGGUAACGGCCUACCAAGGCGUCGAUCCUUAGCUGGUCUGAGAGGAUGGCCAGCCACACUGGGACUGAGACACGGCCCAGACUCCUACGGGAGGCAGCAGUGGGGAAUAUUGGACAAUGGGCGCAAGCCUGAUCCAGCAAUGCCGCGUGGGUGAUGAAGGCCUUCGGGUUGUAAAGCCCUUUCGCACGCGACGAUGAUGACGGUAGCGUGAGAAGAAGCCCCGGCUAACUUCGUGCCAGCAGCCGCGGUAAUACGAAGGGGGCGAGCAUUGUUCGGAAUUACUGGGCGUAAAGGGCGCGUAGGCGGUGCACCAAGUCAGGCGUGAAAGCCCCGGGCUCAACCUGGGAACGGCGCUUGAGACUGGUGCGCUCGAGUUCGGGAGAGGACGGCGGAAUUCCCAGUGUAGAGGUGAAAUUCGUAGAUAUUGGGAAGAACACCGACGGCGCAGGCAGCCGUCUGGACCGACACUGACGCUGAGGCGCGAAAGCGUGGGGAGCAAACAGGAUUAGAUACCCCCGUAGUCC